Molecule: ribosomal RNA, 521 nt
Filed under: uncultured bacterium
Lineage: Bacteria
Description: bacterial SSU rRNA
Rfam family: Archaeal small subunit ribosomal RNA
Source: RNAcentral
AACCUCCGCAAUGUGAGAAAUCGCGACGGGGGGAUCCCAAGUGCCAUUCCUAACGGGAUGGCUUUUCAUUAGUGUAAAGAGCUUUUGGAAUAAGAGCUGGGCAAGACCGGUGCCAGCCGCCGCGGUAACACCGGCAGCUCUAGUGGUAACAAUUUUUAUUGGGCCUAAAGCGUCCGUAGCCGGUUUAAUAAGUCUCUGGUGAAAUCCUGUAGCUUAACUGUGGGAAUUGCUGGAGAUACUAUUAGACUUGAGACCGGGAGAGGUUAGAGGUACUCCCAGGGUAGAGGUGAAAUUCUGUAAUCCUGGGAGGACCGCCUGUUGCGAAGGCGUCUAACUGGAACGGUUCUGACGGUGAGGGACGAAAGUUAGGGGCGCGAACCGGAUUAGAUACCCGGGUAGUCCUAACUGUAAACGAUGCGGACUUGGUGUUGGGGUGGCUUUGAGCUGCUCCAGUGCCGAAGGGAAGCUGUUAAGUCCGCCGCCUGGGAAGUACGGUCGCAAGACUGAAACUUAAAGGAAGU